UUUGCAACGUAUCUGGGUUUAC
This 22-nucleotide microRNA is filed under the name Strongyloides ratti. RNAcentral's name for it is "str-miR-8376-3p". The record is from miRBase by way of RNAcentral. Lineage: Eukaryota; Metazoa; Nematoda; Chromadorea; Rhabditida; Strongyloididae.